This 263-nucleotide unclassified non-coding RNA is filed under the name plant metagenome. RNAcentral describes it as "partial contains small subunit ribosomal RNA, internal transcribed spacer 1, and 5.8S ribosomal RNA". The record is from RNAcentral.
UUUCCGUAGGUGAACCUGCGGAAGGAUCAUUAUUGUAUAACCGAGGUGCGAGGGCUGUCGCUGACCCGAAAGAUCGUGCACGCCCGAGUGCCCUCACCCACAUCCAUCUCACCCCUAUGUGCACCACCGCGUGGCUCCCCCUUUGGCUUGUUCGGAGGGGGGCUUACGUGCUCACACAAACUUUGUAUGCAGUGUCGAAUGUAAUUUUUGUUUUUGCGAUCACGCAAUCAAUACAACUUUCAACAACGGAUCUCUUGGCUCUG